Molecule: ribosomal RNA, 208 nt
Filed under: uncultured bacterium
Lineage: Bacteria
Description: partial 16S ribosomal RNA
Rfam family: Bacterial small subunit ribosomal RNA
Source: RNAcentral
UGCGUAGGUGGCAGUGCAAGUCAGAUGUGAAAGGCCGGGGCUCAACCCCGGAGCUGCAUUUGAAACUGCUCGGCUAGAGUACAGGAGAGGCAGGCGGAAUUCCUAGUGUAACGGUGAAAUGCGUAGAUAUUAGGAGGAACACCAGUGGCGAAGGCGGCCUGCUGGACUGUUACUGACACUGAGGCACGAAAGCGUGGGGGAGCAAACA